CAGAGAAUAGUUUAAGAUAAAAUACUAGUUUUGGGAACUGGUGAUGGGAGGAAACUCUCUUCUCUGA
This 67-nucleotide transfer RNA is filed under the name Trachypenaeus curvirostris. RNAcentral's name for it is "tRNA-Pro". It matches the Rfam family "tRNA". From Rfam's summary of the family: Transfer RNA (tRNA) molecules are approximately 80 nucleotides in length. Their secondary structure includes four short double-helical elements and three loops (D, anti-codon, and T loops). Lineage: Eukaryota; Metazoa; Arthropoda; Malacostraca; Decapoda; Penaeidae. The record is from RNAcentral.